CCUACGGGAGGCAGCAGUGGGGGAUAUUGCACAAUGGGGGGAACCCUGAUGCAGCGAAGCAGCGUGGGUGAAGAAGCGCCUCGGCGCGUAAAGCCCUGUCAGCAGGGAAGAAAAUGACGGUACCUGAAGAACAAUCCCCGGCUAACUACAUGCCAGCAGCCGCGGUAAUACGUAGGGGCCAAGCGUUAUCCGGAUUUAGUGGGUGUAAGGGGGGCGCAGACGGGGUUGCAAGCCAGGAGUGAAAGCCCGGGGCCCAACCCCGGGAUUGCCCUUGGAACUGCGUGGCUGGAGUGCAGGAGGGGAAGGCGGAAUUCCUGGUGUAGCGGUGAAAUGCGUAGAUAUCAGGAGGAACACCGGUGGCGAAGGCGGCCUGCUGGACUGCAACUGACGUUGAGGCCCGAAAGCGUGGGUAUCAAACAGGAUUAGAUACCCCUGUAGUC
Molecule: ribosomal RNA, 440 nt
Filed under: uncultured bacterium
Lineage: Bacteria
Description: partial 16S ribosomal RNA
Rfam family: Bacterial small subunit ribosomal RNA
Source: RNAcentral